Molecule: long non-coding RNA, 90 nt
Organism: Rhagoletis zephyria (snowberry fruit fly)
Lineage: Eukaryota; Metazoa; Arthropoda; Insecta; Diptera; Tephritidae
Source: RefSeq, a predicted model, not a curated record
CACCAGAACAAAAGGGUUUUUAACCAGACCAACCUACCAACAUGUGUUUCGACCCGCUGAAUCCGAUUCUGAGAUCCGUUUGACUCGUAC